Molecule: ribosomal RNA, 507 nt
Filed under: uncultured bacterium
Lineage: Bacteria
Description: partial 16S ribosomal RNA
Source: RNAcentral
GGAGUUAGCCGGUGCUUCUUCUGUGAGUGAUGUCCUUCCUGCCGGCUAUUAACCCGCAGGCCUUCUUCCUCACUGAAAGUGCUUUACAACCCGAAGGCCUUCUUCACACACGCGGCAUGGCUGGAUCAGGGUUGCCCCCAUUGUCCAAUAUUCCCCACUGCUGCCUCCCGUAGGAGUCUGGUCCGUGUCUCAGUCCCAGUGUGGCUGAUCAUCCUCUCAGACCAGCUACGGAUCGUCGCCUUGGUGAGCCGUUACCUCACCAACCAGCUAAUCCGACAUAGGCUCAUCCGAUAGCGCGAGGCCCGAAGGUCCCCCGCUUUCCCCCGUAGGGCGUAUGCGGUAUUAGCCUGGGUUUCCCCAGGUUAUCCCCCACUACCGGGCAGAUUCCUAUGCAUUACUCACCCGUCCGCCGCUCGCCACCAGGGAGCAAGCUCCCCGUGCUGCCGCUCGACUUGCAUGUGUUAGGCCUGCCGCCAGCGUUCAAUCUGAGCCAGGAUCAAACUCUGA